RNAcentral lists this long non-coding RNA (444 nucleotides) under Setaria italica (foxtail millet). RNAcentral describes it as "long non-coding RNA (SITA_LNC001375)". The record is from RNAcentral. Lineage: Eukaryota; Viridiplantae; Streptophyta; Magnoliopsida; Poales; Poaceae.
UACAAAGUCAUUAAAAUAUCCACUCGUCAUACUUGACACGCACUCCUGACAUGGAAUGUGGUACUACAUCUUUUUUUUUUCUCUGGAAUGCUUUGGUACGGCAUCAUCAGUUAAUAGAAUGUCCAGUAAGUCAAGUCUCACAUUAUACAGAGAUUAACGGUACUAUUAUCAAGCGACUAAGCAUGGCUUUUACCUGCUUGGAAGUCAAGCACUUGCUGUCAACUCCAGGUCAUAUUGUCCGAGGCCAAUUUUAACUUUUCCUCAGGAAUUCUAGCACCACUAUGAGAACAUCCGACUUGUCCAGUUCAUAACGUUUUCCUUCAGCGGUCUAGUGCACGCGUAUGACGUAGCAUCCCUGACGUCAGUUCACUUUUCUUUUCAAUCCCUCUCCUUUUUUUUUUCUUUUGUGCAGAAGACUUCGUUCAAUUCAACAUAUUAUUGCAC